Homo sapiens (human) is the source of this 2123-nucleotide long non-coding RNA. Ensembl annotates it as ETS2 antisense RNA 1. Its record names the gene ETS2-AS1. Lineage: Eukaryota; Metazoa; Chordata; Mammalia; Primates; Hominidae. The record is from Ensembl.
CCCAUUCCUCUGUGUCUGUAACAGGGGAGCUUCUUCCUUCUUUCUUCUCCCUUCUUUCUUGCCUGUUAAACUCUCUGCUUCUUAAAACCACUCCAUGUAUGUCCAGGUCAUUUUAUCUAAUUUGGAGACGGAGAACCCUGGUGUUCCUCUGCUCAUCAGAGCCGUCUCACCUGCAAGGGCCAGGAUCCAGCACUAGGGCUGCCCUUUAUGUUCAUGCAGCCUCCACUAGGAAGAUCCUCCUUAGCUGCCACCUGCUGUAAAGGGAUCUAUCUAUCUAUCUGUCUAUCUAUCUAUCUAUCUAUCUUUCUAUCUACCUGUCGAGAGAGAGAGAGGUUUAUUAUAAGGAAUUGACUCAUGUGAUUAUGGAGGCUGAGAAGUUCCACAGUCUGCUGUCUGCAAGCUGGAGACCCAGGAAGGCUGCUGGUGCCGUUCCAGUUUGAUUCUGAAGGCCUGAGAACCAGAACUGAUGCUCAACAUUGGAAUCCCUGCUCUUUCACUGCACACACUGACCACCCACUGCAGGCUGGGGGUCCUAGAGGAUUUCACGUGCUAGGCUGUCCCAAAUAGAGGAGGUCCUGCUACAGCACCGGCACCAUUAGUCCUUUCUGGGCCGUGCUCUGUGAGCCCUUGAGAGGACAAGAAACCAAUGUCAAAGCCAUGGAAUGAUCCCAUUCAAUUCUCAUCAAGGAAUAGAGAAGACAUAAAAUUCAGCAAAUGGAGGAGCCCACUCAACAUGAAGAUGACAAGGAUGAAGACCUUUAUGAUGAUCCAUUCCCACUUACUGAAUAUGUUACUUCGUAUUAGAGAGAAUGUUUUUAUUCUCAGGCGAUAGAUGCAAAAAUAUUUAAAGUGCAGCUCACUUUCAAACGGUUCAGCCAAAUGUCGAUGAUUUUUGAAUCUAAGUGGAUGAAGCUUCUUGGUGAUGUAACAGUCUGUGGAAACUCCCACAGGACAAAUGCAGAAAGGAAGGACCUAGAUCACUGGAUGGUCAACGUUGCCCCUUGCACAGCAGCAAAGGCCUAUACAAAUUUUUUGAGUAGCUUUAUCUAGUGGUUCAGCUACUGGGAAUAACUUGUAAAAUCCCCUGGAUAGUCAACAGCAUUGGGGCUUGCUUUGUAAACAGAGACCUGACCUACUUAAUUCUUCCCAGAGGUUGGAAAAAGAGGCUGGACUCACACAGACAUGAAACCUUGGCUUAAUUGGACACUAAUUACUCAUAAGAGAUCUGUUUACCCGAACUUCCCCUAGACCAAGCUCAGUAUAAAAUGAGAGGAUGCAUAAAGAAGCAAGAUAUUUAGAGGAAAAUGUCACAAAUACAUUUAUCAGUCCCAAAAGUCCUUUUUUUUCCCCAGAAGUGAUGUUGCUAAUUGCACAAAAAUAAACAAUACAGGGGUUGAUAAAUUCCACAUUUAAGGGCUGAGGAUAGUGUCCCUACAUUUCUAAGAAGCUGUAUAUUUGGAAAUGAAUACAAUUGAAAGUAAGGAUAAGUGGCAUUCUAAAGCCAAUUGGAUAACUUGAAUGAACAAGCAGAAUUUACCAUAUUUUGAUAUGUUUCUUUUUGAUUAAAGUAUCUGUAAAGGAAACAAAUUAUAGUAUUGCUAUAGAUUUUAUUACUGAACAAGAAAAAAAGGCUUGAUGUUGUGCAUUUCCUUUUGGCCUUUGGUCUUGGCUGAUAUUGGGCAUCCAAUGAGCUUCUUUGUCUUGAAUGAAGACUUAAGAGGGAGUGAAAAGUAGGAAGAGCAUCAAAACUUCUUUGCAGGAUGUAAUCAAACCACCUACUACUUAUUGUCUUACGAUCCAUUUAUUCAACAAAUGGAACAUCUCAAUUGCUUGAUGCUAUUACAGACACUAGGUAUAGUCUUAGAAAAACAAAUUGCUGUUUUUAUAUAGCUUGUGUUAUGGGUUGAUGUAGUACAGUCAAAAUUAUUUAAAUAAAGGAAGAUGUGAGGAAGACUUUGAACUUAGAAAUCUGGGUUCUCAUCCAAGCUUUGCUGCUAGCUUGUUGGGGGAACCUUGGGUGAUGAGUUGGUUGACUCCUUCCAGAUCUCAGCGUUCAUCCAUCAAGUGAGGGAACUUGACCAGAUAUUCAAUAAUGGCCCUUCCAGCCCCAUCUCUAUAUGAAA